This 296-nucleotide long non-coding RNA is filed under the name Prunus persica (peach). RNAcentral describes it as "long non-coding RNA (PPER_LNC007018)". The record is from RNAcentral. Lineage: Eukaryota; Viridiplantae; Streptophyta; Magnoliopsida; Rosales; Rosaceae.
AAAUUAUGUUGAAAAUCUGCUCAUGUAUGUGUUCCUUGCUUGUUACAAAGUUCAGUAAUCCCUUAUGCUCUUACCUAUGCUUUAAUUGUGCUCAAAAUAUUGUAUAUCUCAUAUCCCUUCUUUCAUUCAACCACUACCCUAAACCUCAUUACUACCCUUGUAAAGUCCUUUUGAUCCUUGGUGUUGCAUGGUAUUACUGUGGAGAGCAGAUUGGAUAAUGAGCUUAUGGGGUUCGGAAUUCUUGAUUUUGCUCUAAGUGUGUGCGCAUGUACUUAUUUGAGUUGCAGGUGUUGUUC